UGGGGAAUUUUGGACAAUGGGCGAAAGCCUGAUCCAGCCAUGCCGCGUGAGUGAAGAAGGCCUUCGGGUUGUAAAGCUCUUUUAGUCGGAAAGAAAGAGUUGCAAUGAAUAAUUGUGAUUUAUGACGGUACCGACAGAAAAAGCACCGGCUAACUACGUGCCAGCAGCCGCGGUAAUACGUAGGGUGCGAGCGUUAAUCGGAAUUACUGGGCGUAAAGGGUGCGCAGGCGGUUUUUCAAGUCAGAUGUGAAAGCCCCGGGCUUAACCUGGGAAUUGCGUUUGAAACUACAAGACUAGAGUGCAGCAGAGGGGAGUGGAAUUCCAUGUGUAGCAGUGAAAUGCGUAGAGAUGUGGAAGAACACCGAUGGCGAAGGCAGCUCCCUGGGUUGACACUGACGCUCAUGCACGAAAGCGUGGGGAGCAAACA
Molecule: ribosomal RNA, 427 nt
Filed under: uncultured beta proteobacterium
Lineage: Bacteria; Pseudomonadati; Pseudomonadota; Betaproteobacteria
Description: bacterial SSU rRNA
Rfam family: Bacterial small subunit ribosomal RNA
Source: RNAcentral